GCGGCUAUGCACGAAAUUGCGAAGUCUCAAUUUUUCCGUCCACAAUUCUUUCAUUUCUUGGCGAAGGUUGGCGACAAGCUAAGUGAGAUGGGAAGGAGCAGCCUUUUGCGCCCAGGUGACUUGUUUCGUCGUCGAUGAUAUAGACUGUGUGGACGAUAUCAUACGUGCUGAAUUAUUAGUGUGGUGUGUGGAGGCGGAUUUAGACAUAUUGCGUUGGGGGCAUUGAGGGCUGAGUGCAAUAUGUGUAGACGCAGCACAUGCCACGAAAUGGGGAAAUUGUUUACAGUUUGGGUCCAACUCAUAUGUAGCUUUGGCGCAGUCCCGGCAGACCAGCGGAAAAGGACUGCAUUUGGCAACAUGGCCCAAACGAUGACAAUUGUAGUAUGCUAUUGGGCGAGGUGGAUAUUAAUGAACAGGGAUGACUUCAUAUUCAAACACCAAGCAUUGUUUUAUGUGUUUCGCAUCAAAUUUCAACACCAGUAGCUGUGUUUUACCGAGCAUGCGCGAAUCGGUUAUUGUCGCCUAUUCACAGGGCAGAUGCGCUUUGACGUAGUCAAUCCUUAGGACGGGUCUUUAACACAUCAGGAGAGCUGCCUACUGCAUGUGCCUGAAGAGGCGAUGUGUUUACGUCAAGAACACGCAUGUUGCCGUUAACUGUUGCGACUAAGCGCGAUAGUGUGUAAAUUUUGCGAAAAUUGCCCUGGUCGCGAACUGUGAUCCGUAUGCCGUUACUGGUUGUGUCAAAUCGCAGAAUGGCCCUUCAGGAAUGAAUACUGAUGGAGCACUUUGUUCUAUGGCGUUUGGGAGCGCCUGCUUCGGAAUAUUUGUUACGGGCACUUUGUUGAGCGGCCUGAUCAAAACGAUGUAGCGGGGCCGACUCACCCGUUUGGCGUGAAGUCUUGUUGGUGACACUUGGCGUCGAUAGUAGACAACGUUUCUCUGUCCCCCGUCGUCACGAGGUUCGGUGGUCCUCAUGGAAGGGCCCCCUGACAAGUCGGGACCAGCUGGCCCGUUAGUUUUGCUGACUGCGCAUGCUGGGUCGUAUUCAUGGUCUCGUUUCCGUUAGAUAAUGUUGAAAAAUCAUUGCAUUUCGAUGUAAGGCUCGUGCGUUUCGGGGUCGUUGUCAUAGUAGGCGUCCUGAUGAAAGCCGGAGUGAAACCCGCCCGGCGUAGCAGGAUCACCAGGCACUGUGCGGCCGCACUGAAGCGUUGCAGCCGCGGCCUCCGGUAGCGUCCGAAGCGUCCGGCAACGUCUGACGUGUCACACUAGGCUUAGGGUGGCCAGUUCACAAAACACAAAGGAAAAGGUCAAACUUUUCCAAAAAGCUUUGCGGCCUACGCUCACCAUGUAAUCAAGAUUUACUACCUCAGCAAAAAACAGCAACAGAUAAACGAAAAAAAAACUGGUCAAACUGAACAGAAAGAUAGUAUCCGAGGUGAGGCACGUCUGCUUCCGCCAGUGGUGGAAUCGAGCCCCGUAUAAAACGUAAUUACUAAAAAUAUGGUAGUAAAUAAAUAUUCACUUUUAUUUUAUGCGUAAAUACUGUCGGCCUGUGAGAGUAGUCUAGCUCAAGAAGUAGGAUAGUGCUAAUUUCCUACUUCACGGGGUAUUUUUAACGUUCCGUUAACGAUAAAAUAAGACAAGCCAUAUAUUGUAUGAUUAAGUUCUGGGAGUAGCACUUGUUGCAUGUACUAUCGACUAAAAACAUUUAUGGACCACGGGAUCUCAGAAAACGCUAAAACGCUUCCUCUGGAUAUUGAGCUGUUUGUCAGAUCCCUUGGUCCGAACACUUUUUUGGUCGAUAGUACAUUUGUUUUGCGUUGUAUCUGUCUUAUUGCGAAUAGCAUUGAAUCAGUUCGUUGUCAUUAACCGGGUGACAAAUGUUGAUGUUGAAUGUAGUGUAUAACAUACACUGUCUCGCGCACAACUUAUGUGGGCACCCGAUUGGGUAUCACCGAGAUUAAACAUAUUUAAGUCGCCCAGGUCGAAAAAAACGUGCUCCUUUCGGAACAUUCAAUCAAAACAGGCCGAUUGCACUGCUUAACGGUUUCUGAAUUAGAAGCUUCUACCGCGAAAUUGUGGGAGCGAAUAUGUUGAAGUGCAAUCUUUGGCGGGAAACACUGUAUGUUCGAAAUGGCGUACUUCAUAGAAACUAUUUGUGUAAAAGUUGUAUGGGUCAACGAGAGUAAAAUUGUUGACAUUUUUUUUAGGAUAGAGCCAUAACCUCCACCUGAUAAUGGCACACUGCGAAGUGGUGGACUCAUGAACAAUUUUGGCCAUCUGUGCUUCGUUAUUGUCUACUCAAUGCACGGUAGCAGAGCAUUUUCGCAAUAUGCUUCCAUUAAAAAUAGGCCAUCACGUGUGGGAUCGAAUCCGCGACUUUGAGCUCAAAAGUGCAUAGUCAGAGCCUCUGGGCCACCAAGGAGUGUAAGUGUAAACAAUAAUUUUGCGGAUGAAAUUUAACGUCCCUGUAAAAUUCAUUUGUGCUACCAACAAAGACCAACUAGACCGACUGCCAAUUAUGCUUCAAUUUUAAGUCUUUCAUGCUAUUCAAAGGAAUUUUAUUGCGAUAGCAAUUAUAUGGACACUCCACACGGAUUUCUGCCAUUGUUGUCGUCGUCGCCGUGAGGUUCCGUAAAAAGUCCAAGGGCCUUAAAAUCGUCGCCGUGCGCUGUAUGCUGUAUCUGCGCGUGAAAGCACGCGAGGGACGCGCGCAUUCACGGAAGGCGAGCGCACGGCGGAGAGCAAAUGCGACGUCUUCCGUUGCGCGAGAGGCCAUUGGACGAUGGAAGGGAGAGAGAGGGGGUGUCGUUAUGCUGCGGCACCAAAUGCGUAUCUUGCGACCGGGCGCAAGGGGAACUGUAAUCUCGCAGGUGAAUGGAGGAAAGCGGGAAGGCAGCGCGGGAGGGAGGGGGUGUGUCUUCUGCUCUGCGAGCAACUGCGUACUUGUACUUUCCGCGGCGGUGCACCGUAUCUUGAAAGUGAUCUGCAACACGGCUCCUACCUUUGUAUGCGCUGUGCUUUUUGCCACUCAGUUUCCAUUGAAGCGAUAGACCACACGAACCUCCACUCGCUGCUGCUGGCGCGCUUGCUCACGCAAGCGUUAUGACAGUGCUUGUGUGCGGUCAUCGAGUGUGAUCCAUUCAUGUUUGCUGGUGCGCGCUGACACCAUGCUUGUUAAUUCAGUUAGUAAGCGAAUGUAUCCAAGUUUACACAGCCGAAAAAACUACUGCCCUUACUCCGUAUAGCUCUCUACUAAUUUGAUAUCGCAAUUGAUGCUUCGCCUUUCGGGCGAAAUAGCGACUUUUUUGAUAACACUCACAUUUGCACUUUCAGUUGCGAAUCUCGCCCCAAAACCGACCCCAGAAAGACCAUGGUGGAAGAGCGAAUCGGUUCAGAAACGUGCAGAAAAUAUAGGUGUGAGGUCGGAGAUUACUGCCCCCGACAUUGUAUAGGUUGCAGCAGAAGAAUCUUUUUCAUUAAAAGGGAUACUUUUUGUUACUGAGAAAUAUUGAUACUGCCAUUCUUGAAGAAAAAUAAAGUUUAUUAAAACAGUUUCA
Long non-coding RNA from Dermacentor silvarum, 3560 nucleotides. RefSeq lists it as uncharacterized. The record is from RefSeq and is a predicted model, not a curated record. NCBI's taxonomy places the organism in Eukaryota, Metazoa, Arthropoda, Arachnida, Ixodida, Ixodidae. The transcript is spliced from 2 exons.